Molecule: long non-coding RNA, 484 nt
Organism: Dermacentor silvarum
Lineage: Eukaryota; Metazoa; Arthropoda; Arachnida; Ixodida; Ixodidae
Exons: 4
Source: RefSeq, a predicted model, not a curated record
GUUUCUUCUUGGCACCAAACCACUAGGUCGUCGACCCAUUCCCUUCUUAAACCAGCCGAUAUGAGGAUCCUGGCAACAGUAUUUAUGUUUAUGUUGGUCACUGGACUCGCUAGCAAUACAGUUGCUGCGAACGACGAGCCUGAAGUGGGUCACGUGACAGUUCGCCGAGGCUUCGGCUGGCCGUUUAUACUGGCAGCCUGCCACAUCUACUGCCGCAGCAUUGGUCGUCGAGGAGGUUACUAUGCUCGGGUGGUAAAUCAGAUAUGCACGUGCUACAGAUCUUAAGGAGUCCGCCACUUUUCAGCCGCCGAAGAUGACCGCUCCUCCCGAAAGGACAAAAAUUCCCGCAGGCAUUUUCUCAAGGACGUACGAAGGUACUCUACCAUCGAAGGGACUCCUUGCUAGAAUGGAAAAAAAUUAGUCCGAACGCUUUAGUAUUAUGAUAAGUAGCUGUGGUGAGGCGCGUUUUCGUUCUUCAUUAAAA